GUUCGGGUCUAGCUGAUUCUCGCCGGCAUCCCGUGCCCUCGGAGCCGCCCCCGGAGUGGCGGGAUCGACCUGUCUUCCUUCGGCCUUACGGGGGGCGGGUUCGGGGGGUGGCGGUUCACGCAACCCCAGCCGCCCGGGGAUGCCCCGCAAUCGGGGGGCGGGCAGGGGAGCGGCGGGCGGCUGGUUCGGGACACGCGGCGCCCCGAGACUACCUGACCCCGCACGUCGGACUCCCUGCCUCUCCUCGGACGCACGGUUCCCCCCUCGCCCCCCGCCCGCGAGCAAACCGGGGGUGGGAAGUGACUUCAACGAGGUAGAAGUUCAGCUGGACCGAAAGAAGGGCGAGAAGUUCCGCUUGCGAGCCACCUCGGCGGUGAAGCGGAAUGAGUAAUCCCCACGCCGGCCUGUCUCACUUCCUCCUGCGCGCUGGGCGCUCACCUGCUGUCACCUCGGCCGCCUCCGCCCCCAGGCCGCGCCCUCCUCCCUGCGGCCACGUCCGCCCUGCGGCCUCCCACCCCCUAGUACAUCGGCCAGAUCCGAGGCCCCCAGACUUAAGGUGUUAACAGGCCACAAUUUAGUAUCUGGGUGGGCAGCGGUCGCUGUGCAGAAACUUAUGGCGUGAAACGAGGGCUGGCAGGUAUGGUCUUGGCAGGUGAUGGAUGGCGAUUUUAUCUCGAACUGCGUACAAGUUCAGGGAUUUCUGAAAGACCACGUAGAUACCAGCACAAAUACCAAGAAGGUCACGUCUUCAAUAUUCAGUAGAGACUUCGCUCUCCCCUCCUCCCCUCCUUCAAACGAGGAAAUGUCUUUGGGACCAACUUGAGGGAAUACAACUGAGCUGUGUUGCGAAUAAUAAAGAGUUAUGAAUGAACAUUGUAAGAGAUGAUAGAUAAAGAAGUUGAGAAGACUGAAACGUCACAACGUAUUAGAAGUAACAGUCAACCUAGCACAGUGCUGUCACACUGGAAUCAGACCUGCUGGCCAGAGUCCCGUCAGGUUAAGGAAGGCACACCAACAAGAUUAGAGGAGCCUGAGUCCCUGACGCCACAGGAAAGCUUGUAACUUCUGCCUCCACGUCUCUGUUACAGAGACAAGUCAACCGAAAUCUUUUUUCAGCUGCUGUUGUCUCGGGUUUUCUGUCACAUGCAGCCAAAGUUAAUCCUGUUUGGUGUAG
Molecule: long non-coding RNA, 1174 nt
Organism: Bos taurus (domestic cattle)
Lineage: Eukaryota; Metazoa; Chordata; Mammalia; Artiodactyla; Bovidae
Source: Ensembl